RNAcentral lists this ribosomal RNA (242 nucleotides) under uncultured bacterium. RNAcentral describes it as "partial 16S ribosomal RNA". It matches the Rfam family "Bacterial small subunit ribosomal RNA", at positions 796 to 1041 of the family's 1533-position model. The record is from RNAcentral. RNAcentral also lists the same sequence under 1 other name.
CACACAGUAAACGAUGAAUACUAGCUGUUUGCGAUAUAUUGUAAGCGGCCGAGCGAAAGCAUUAAGUAUUCCACCUGGGGAGUACGUCGGCAACGAUGAAACUCAAAGGAAUUGACGGGGGCCCGCACAAGCGGAGGAACAUGUGGUUUAAUUCGAUGAUACGCGAGGAACCUUACCCGGGCUUGAAAUGCAGAUGAUCGAAGUGGAGACACUUUUUCCAGUAAUGGCAUCUGUGUAGGUGC